CUUAAAGGAAUUGACGGGGGCCCGCACAAGCGGUGGAGCAUGUGGUUUAAUUCGAUGCAACGCGAAGAACCUUACCCACUCUUGACAUCCAGAGAACUUAGCAGAGAUGCUUUGGUGCCUUCGGGAACUCUGAGACAGGUGCUGCAUGGCUGUCGUCAGCUCGUGUUGUGAAAUGUUGGGUUAAGUCCCGCAACGAGCGCAACCCUUAUCCUUUGUUGCCAGCGAUUCGGUCGGGAACUCAAAGGAGACUGCCAGUGAUAAACUGGAGGAAGGUGGGGAUGACGUCAAGUCAUCAUGGCCCUUACGGGUAGGGCUACACACGUGCUACAAUGGCAUAUACAAAGAGAAGCGACCUCGCGAGGGCAAGCGGACCUCAUAAAGUAUGUCGUAGUCCGGAUUGGAGUCUGCAACUCGACUCCAUGAAGUCGGAAUCGCUAGUAAUCGUAGAUCAGAAUGCUACGGUGAAUACGUUCCCGGGCCUUGUACACACCGCCCGUCACACCAUGGGAGUGGGUUGCAAAAGAAGUAGGUAGCUUAACCUUCGGGAGGGCGCUUACCACUUUGUGAUUCAUGACUGGGGUGAAGUCGUAACAAGGUAAC
This 600-nucleotide ribosomal RNA is filed under the name uncultured bacterium. RNAcentral describes it as "bacterial SSU rRNA". It matches the Rfam family "Bacterial small subunit ribosomal RNA", at positions 900 to 1500 of the family's 1533-position model. The record is from RNAcentral.